This 360-nucleotide long non-coding RNA is filed under the name Ananas comosus (pineapple). RNAcentral describes it as "long non-coding RNA (ACOM_LNC042237)". Lineage: Eukaryota; Viridiplantae; Streptophyta; Magnoliopsida; Poales; Bromeliaceae. The record is from RNAcentral.
UGACAGGCAGGCUCGGUUCAACGUACUGAGUAAGAAUAUAUUUUAAGUUUUCAGAUUCGACCCCAUUUGGUCACCGAAAACUGUACCGAACUGUAAUCUUUAUCAGAUAACUGUCGGAUUUUAUUUCUCACUCUACGGGUGUCAGAAAAAUAUGAAACUUUAAAUCUAGCCUCAUAAAAAUAUUUCUAACUUAUCCUCCAAUUUUUAUAAUUUUCUGAGACUGUGCAUUUUCUGCUAAUUUAUCUGUCCCGUUUCCAACAGAAAUUUUAAAUCUUCUGUUUUCAUUCCGAUUUCAGCACAAGUCACUUCUGACUUAUGUUUUACUUCUAUAAAUCCAAUAAAAAUAGUUUCUCACACUAU